Molecule: ribosomal RNA, 468 nt
Filed under: uncultured bacterium
Lineage: Bacteria
Description: partial 16S ribosomal RNA
Rfam family: Bacterial small subunit ribosomal RNA
Source: RNAcentral
GACGAACGCUGGCGGCGUGCUUAACACAUGCAAGUCGAACGGAAAGGCCCUGCUUUUGUGGGGUGCUCGAGUGGCGAACGGGUGAGUAACACGUGAGUAACCUGCCCUUGACUUUGGGAUAACUUCAGGAAACUGGGGCUAAUACCGGAUAGGAGCUCCUGCUGCAUGGUGGGGGUUGGAAAAUUUCGGCGGUUGGGGAUGGACUCGCGGCUUAUCAGCUUGUUGGUGGGGUAGUGGCUUACCAAGGCUUUGACGGGUAGCCGGCCUGAGAGGGUGACCGGCAACAUGGGGACUGAGAGACGGACAAGACUCCUACGGGAGGCAGCAGGGGGGAAUAGUGCACAAUGGGCGGAAGCCUGAGGCAGCAACGCCGCGUGGGGGAUGAAGGCCUUCGGGUUGUAAACCGCUGUCGACUGGGACGAAGCGUGAGUGACGGUGAUGGGUAAAGAAGCACCGGCUAACUACGGG